Molecule: ribosomal RNA, 497 nt
Filed under: uncultured bacterium
Lineage: Bacteria
Description: partial 16S ribosomal RNA
Rfam family: Bacterial small subunit ribosomal RNA
Source: RNAcentral
GAUGAACGCUGGCGGCGUGCCUAAUACAUGCAAGUCGAGCGAACGGACGAGAAGCUUGCUUCUCUGAUGUUAGCGGCGGACGGGUGAGUAACACGUGGAUAACCUACCUAUAAGACUGGGAUAACUUCGGGAAACCGUAGCUAAUACCGGAUAAGAUUUUGAACCGCAUGGUUCAAAGGGGAAAGACGGUCUUGCUGUCUCUUAUAGAUGGAUCCGCGCUGCAUUAGCUAGUUGGUAAGGUAACGGCUUACCAAGGCAACGAUGCAUAGCCGACCUGAGAGGGUGAUCGGCCACACUGGAACUGAGACACGGUCCAGACUCCUACGGGAGGCAGCAGUAGGGAAUCUUCCGCAAUGGGCGAAAGCCUGACGGAGCAACGCCGCGUGAGUGAUGAAGGUCUUCGGAUCGUAAAACUCUGUUAUUAGGGAAGAACAUAUGUGUAAGUAACUGUGAACAUCUUGACGGUACCUAAUCAGAAAGCCACGGCUAACUACGUG